GGUUCGUUAGUUCAGUCGGCAGAGCGAGGUGCUGAUAACGCCAAGGUCGUGAGUUCGACCCCCACAUGGACCA
Molecule: transfer RNA, 73 nt
Filed under: Orbicella faveolata
Lineage: Eukaryota; Metazoa; Cnidaria; Anthozoa; Scleractinia; Merulinidae
Description: tRNA-Ile
Rfam family: tRNA
About the family: Transfer RNA (tRNA) molecules are approximately 80 nucleotides in length. Their secondary structure includes four short double-helical elements and three loops (D, anti-codon, and T loops).
Source: RNAcentral